GGCUAACUACGUGCCAGCAGCCGCGGUAAUACGUAGGUGGCAAGCGUUGUCCGGAUUUAUUGGGCGUAAAGCGAGCGCAGGCGGAAAAAUAAGUCUGAUGUGAAAGCCCUCGGCUUAACCGAGGAACUGCAUCGGAAACUGUUUUUCUUGAGUGCAGAAGAGGAGAGUGGAACUCCAUGUGUAGCGGUGGAAUGCGUAGAUAUAUGGAAGAACACCAGUGGCGAAGGCGGCUCUCUGGUCUGCAACUGACGCUGAGGCUCGAAAGCAUGGGUAGCGAACAGGAUUAGAUACCCUGGUAGUCCAUGCCGUAAACGAUGAGUGCUAAGUGUUGGGAGGUUUCCGCCUCUCAGUGCUGCAGCUAACGCAUUAAGCACUCCGCCUGGGGAGUACGACCGCAAGGUUGAAACUCAAAGGAAUUGACGGGGGCCCGCACAAGCGGUGGAGCAUGUGGUUUAAUUCGACGCAACGCGCAGAACCUUACCAGCCCUUGACAUCCCGGUCGCGGACUCCAGAGACGGAGUUCUUCAGUUCGGCUGGACCGGAGACAGGUGCUGCAUGGCUGUCGUCAGCUCGUGUCGUGAGAUGUUGGGUUAAGUCCCGCAACGAGCGCAACCCCUAUUGUUAGUUGCCAUCAUUCAGUUGGGCACUCUAGCGAGACUGCCGGUAAUAAACCGGAGGAAGGUGGGGAUGACGUCAAAUCAUCAUGCCCCUUAUGACCUGGGCUACACACGUGCUACAAUGGCUGGUACAACGAGUCGCAAGCCGGUGACGGCAAGCUAAUCUCUUAAAGCCAGCCAUUGUAGCUCGUGUCGUGAGAUGUUGGGUUAAGUCCCGCAACGAGCGCAACCC
Molecule: ribosomal RNA, 849 nt
Filed under: viral metagenome
Description: bacterial SSU rRNA
Rfam family: Bacterial small subunit ribosomal RNA
Source: RNAcentral